This is a long non-coding RNA of Oreochromis aureus, 407 nucleotides long. The record is from Ensembl. NCBI's taxonomy places the organism in Eukaryota, Metazoa, Chordata, Actinopteri, Cichliformes, Cichlidae.
GAAAAAAAGCGGAGGCCCGAAAAACAGGUGGGGGUCCUCCAACAUCACCACUCACAGAGGCUGAGCAGUUGGCCCUCAGCCAAAACAGUGGGCGCCCUGUGGCUGAAGGCAUCUCUGCGGGGACAUCCUCUGAGUCAAUAACCCCGCAAGACACAAGUGCCUACAUAAGAGUUGAUGGUGAUGGUGUACUGCAUCUGGUGCAGCCUCCUGUUGAGCCAGACCAACAUGCAGUUGAAAAUAAUGAAGAAACAUUGACAGCUGUUACAGAGGAGGAAGCAACAGAGACACUUUAUGAGAGUGAUGAUGGAAAUGCAGAGGAAGAGGGUCCAGCCACUUCUCCAACAAACCUUUCCUCACUCCCUGUAAAGCAGCUGUACAAGACCUAUUUGAUCAAGAAAAUAAAAAAA